CCAUGGGUUCAGCCGCCCAUGGGCACCCAAACCGAAUAAAUAUUAUACGCACAGAUUGUAUGGUAGUACAACUGCAUUGAGGGCUCAUGCGGAAAGCCAAGCCACUGACAUUAGCUAACCAAAUUUCAUUCCAAGCCAUGACAAUUAAUAUUCUCGCCAUCUUAAUGCUCAUAUGCACUCACAAUCAGUUGCAUCCAAAUGUGACAAGCAUGUUACCAGAUUGACCAUAUGGAAUACAGCACCACCAACACUUGUGUAUAUGAUUUGAACAGGCAUCAGUACAAACAAGGGCGGACAUAUAAAAAAGCUUCAUUGUUGCUCCAAGGCAUACCUAUUAUUAAGUCACCAGAAAGCAUCAUCAUAACUCAUCAGACUUUAAGAAUUUCAUGGUGAUUUCAUGGUGGUAGUUCAUACGCUUGUAGCUUGUGAUUAUCUAAUAUCAAGAUUUCUAGGCGGCCAAUUUUAUUCCUAUACGUUUCACGAAAAUUAUGUCAUUAAAAGUAGUUCAAAAGCUGCCCACUGAAAGCUAAGGAAUUAACCACGUGGGAGAUCAAGAUGUAGAGUACACUGAAGUUCAAAUCACAUAUUACUGGAAAUAUCAACGGUGCAUAGAAAGGGGGCAACACACAAGAGGCAAACAUAGAACUAGGGGAGGAGUGGUGCAGAUCAGGCUGCACCCCUGUGGGCCCUGGGAGUAAGCAAGAAUGUAGGCACGCAAUAUCCAACGCAUUCAUAUGGGCAAAACCCACUCUGUAUCCGAUACACUUGGUGAUCCACGUUGCAGAUGCCCUUACACCCCUGAGUGACAUUUCAACAUUCAAAUGGUUGCUCACAGAAAGCAAGCCAUCCCGAUUUGCACGCUUCCACCUAGUCACACAAAACCCUAACCCUAAUACAUACCAUAAAUACAAGUGAUGGUAUCUGAUCUCAAUACACCUCUGAAUGAGCCUUACUCAUCAUCGCCAUCAACAGCACUUAGGCGCAAAUCCCACAAAGAGAAUAACAGAGAAGCCAAUAGUCAAAGAGCGCAAGAUCACCAGAAACAACAUGAGAAUCGGUAAAAGCAGAAAGAAUCACUAUAUCAGGAGCAAAUCAUGAACUGGUGGACACAAAAACUGGGACAUGUAUAAGUAAAUGGCUCAGAUACACUCCCAUCUCAACACUGUAACUGAAUUUCUGGUAGAAUGACCAUGAACAUUUAUAUUUGUGAACGGAGGGAGUAACAGUUAAGAAGGGGAGCCUUGGCGCAGCAGCGGUAAAGCUGUAGCCUUGUAACCUUGUGGUCAUGGGUUCGAGUCCUGGAAACAGCCUCUUGCAGAAAUGUAGGGAAAGGCUGCGUACUAUAGACCCAAAGCGAUCGGACCCUUGCCCGGACCCUGCACAAGCAGGAGCUACGUGCACCGGGCUGCCCUUUAGGGAGUAAUAGUUAGCCGCUAAACUGGUUGCUUGCUGUGACACAAGCCAUCCUAGUUUAGCAGCAAGUGAAUCAAUUCAGGUGUUAGAUAGAAGCUCUCACAGGGAGGUUAUAUCAUCACAGCCAUUCAUGAACAUGACACACAAAAACAGUAAUCUUGACAGCUGAACUUGCCCUAUACGACCCUUAAGUUGAAACCAGUAAAGAAGUAAAGAGAAACCAAAAGUACAAACUGAUAAGUAGAUAUAGAGUACAAUAGAAGGAUGAAAUUAUUAAGUCAAAUAGCAAUUGAAACAAGCAAACUGACCCAGCACCAAAUAAGAUAGUUUCAAAAACCAUCCAAGGGACAGCAGAAUUAUCAUAGCCAUUCAAGAAAAAGGAAGAAACAGAAAAAGGGGGGAAAAACAGAAGAAAGAAUUAAGUGUGGCUGGAGUACUGUUCCUAAAACAACAGAACUGGUUGACAUACUGCAAAACCAACAAAAUGUGUAGGAAAAAGGCGAAAAUAUAAACUUGAAAAUUAGUCCCUUGCAUCCACCAGACCAUGAUUUUACCGGAAGAACUGAUAUCAUAACCGAACUCUCAAGAUAUUUUUUAUGUAUACGUGGAUGCGAGCAAGCAAGAACUACAAAUUCUCAAAAAGGAAAAGAUCAGUUCAAAUUUUGGGAAGGGAACACUCAUUUUUACUCGGAACAUUAUUGGGCGGGAGGCUCAGAGUUGGCCCAUUUAUAAAAGGUAGUCAUGGUAAUUUUGCAACAUGAGAUUAUAGAAUAGGUAGGUGCAGGAUUAUGACAACAUUGUGCUUUCCACGUAUUGGCUUCUAUAAGCAUUAAAAUGGUCAUCAGCAGAAAGCAAACAGUGCAGAUUGUAUUCCUUGAGGCCAGUUAGCAGUUGCUGUGUGGACCAAAACAGUACUCCCUCCGUAAAGAAAUAUAAGAGCGUUUAGAUCACUACUUUAGUGAUCUAAACGUAGUGAUCUAAACGCUCUUAUAUUUCUACAGAGGGAGUAGAAAAGAAGUUUGACAACUUGCCGACUUGAAUGUACAUCACUACCAAAAGAACUAGUAAAAAUUUAAUAGGGAUAGUAAAGGACAUGGAAUAUGACCAAAGAACUAGCCAUGAACAGGGGUGCGUGGAAGCUAGCUAUCCAUGUGCCAGAACCAUGAGUUGGUUGCGAGAUCUUAUGGGUUUCAGCUCUAGCCUACCCCCAACUUGUUUGGGACUAAAGGCUUUGUUGUUGUUGUUGUUGGUAGUAAAGGAGGACAUGCACAGAUCAUGUUUCACAUAUUUAACCCCAUGAAAAGGGAGUAAACACAUUCAACCACUACCAGUACUAGGACCACCAACCACUGUGAGACGAGCUUGAGCAAAAGCCCGAAUGCACCGAACUGGUUCCCUCCAUGAACAACAAAAUCAUGAGAAGGCAAACCGAACACCACAAGAGGUGACCUGUGCGUUAGCCAAUCUUAGUGAGAUGGGCCAGUGCCAGAACCACGGCAAUUUAUCACUCCAAUCAUAAAAAGGCCAUCGGAAUAAAUAAAUGUGUAAACCAUACUGUAUAGGAGGGCACAGUACUAGUUGAACUGGGAGGGCUCAGAUUCGCCUUUGAUAGAUCAUACAACCUAGCCCCACCCUCUUCAUUCACCAGAUCAACCCCCCACCAAUGAAGUCAAGCUCUGCUGGUUAUCACUCAACAGAAUGACCGACAGAGCCAUCAAUAUUCGUUGAGAAUGAAAAGGUCCCAAAAGAGGGGAGAGCGUGUUUUUUAUACCCACGGCUCCUCGAAUAAUCAAAGACAGGUUUAUUGUCAGCCAAGUUUGAUCAUCAUCUCCCCUGAUAUAGCUCCCUUUGUGCAUGCAACAGGUAAGGGUGAAAAGUAGGUUGGAUCAGAUACAGAACAUCUGCAGCUAAGCACAGUAUCAGCAGCUGGAGGGUGAUUAGAACACAUGAGGAAUAGUUCACAAAAUCCUGGGAAAUUUUUGGGGAGUACUAUUUGAAUGAAUGGCUCAGAUUUAACCCACCAUGAAUCACCAAAGUUGGGAAAUGUUCCAGGUGGUACAAAAUCCUGGGAAAAUUUUGGGGAGUACUAUUUGAAUGAGUGAAGUGGUACCAUAAACAAUAAAAUAUCUCUCUCCCUCUUCCUCUCCCUCUCCAGCAACAAAUUGCCGCAACUAGUAACUUGCUGCAGAGCAAGGCCUCCUAGUUUAACGACUAACUGUCUAACUGGGCAAAGUUGAAUGGAACCAACCUAGGAAACGUGAAAGCAUCUCUAUCUCAGGACAUGUUGAAAGAUCAACACCAAAGAACACAAAGGAAACAAAUAUGCCAUGUCCGGAACACUGCACUGAUGUCCGUAUUACUCGAAACGAAAGAAGCAAUUGACAUUUGUUCACUUCAGAUAAAAGGAGUAACUACAAGACAAAUAAAAAACAGGAUGACAUAAACUUUCCAUUUUGAAACAGAAGAAAAGCAUAAGCUUGCAAAAAGGGAUGCGUAUAAUACAAACAGAAAACAGGAAAUGCAGCUCGCCCGUUUAUCCCAUGAAAAUGGGGUUCUAAUGCUAAAUAGUACAUGUAACAUAUGAUAGUGGCAAUACUAUUCCACCAUGAAACUGAACACCAGUCAAUCCAACCUCUGGCAAAAUGAAAACUAAACCAAAGCAAUAAUACUGAAUAAAUUUAAAAAUAUAUAAUGAGAAGGGGGCCAACCGCCAACAUAUAAAUCCCAAAUGACCCAAGCAAAAGCUCCAGGAGGACAUUCAGUUAUGGUAUGACAAAAUAUAAGAGCCUUUUUAACAAAUACACUUUUGCAGUUGAUAAAUUUACUUGACACUCAUUUAGAAUCCGUGCAAGGGAUCUGUACCACACUAAUGCAUCAGAAAUGUGGCAGUUAUUAUUGACAGCAGCAGCUAAAGAAUAGACUAAUUACCAAUGAACUAAAUAGCAUAGAGAAUCGUAACAAAAGGUCUGCUCUGACCAAAACAAAUACGAAGGUAAUAUGAGCUUCAGUUCAUAAAAAACAGACAUAACAGAUCAAAACUUUGUCUUUGAAGAAGCAUCUGGCAGGACAAGAUAAGCAAGAGAACAGCUUCUCGUUAACCAGUUGAAUAGAACUGCCAAUAGCUACAAGCAUUGGAGGAAAAAAGGGCAACCGUUUGACACAUAUAUAGUAUGUACAACUAGAAAGGCAAAAACGAUGCCAACUAGAAACCAACCCAAGUAAAGCUAGGGUGGUUGGGUUCAUCACCAAGAGAAGAUACCAAUCCAGAUCCAGAUCACGCAUCAACACAAAAGGAAUAGAAAUUAAAAACAAUGUAUAGUGGAGAAGGAAAAACUGAGUAUUGUAGCGUAGCAAGAGGGCUCAGUUUUGCCUUUCAUCUUGAAGCCCAACACUCACGUCUCUUGCUGCAUAACCUACCCAUAGCGAUGUAAUUGAACUGCCCUGGUUAUCACACAUCAGAAUGACCAUCCAAGGCGCAGAACAUCCAACAUUAGCCAUGAAUUGAACAGGCUGCAAGAGAAGUAAGGGUGAGCUCUUAAGGGCAUCUCCAACGCCGGCACCCAUUUGGGCCCUAUUACGGCUGUCUUGAUUGCUCAAACAUAAUUAUUUCAGCCACAGGCAUCAUCAUCGCCCCUCUUUUUUUUUAAGGAAAAAGGUCAAAUCCCCAAGCAACAUGACCAUAACAUCCAUCCAUUAGGCUAGUCAUAGUGGUGAGUAACUUAGACAGUCUCAGGAGCUGCUCAUACCUGGCCUCGACCGACCAAACCUCACAGUGUGGGCGACGCAUCAGACAACGCCUUACGGUUCCCAGCCAUGCCACAACCAAAUCCAAGGCAAUGGACUGGCGGCAGCUGGCAGCACCGUAGAGACCGGGAUCUGACGUGGCAGCCACCCGGACAAUGGGUCAGCGAGUCGGCAAUGAGAGCUUGACUGAUUUGAUUUUUUUUGGGGGGGGGAGGGGGGAUACAAGGAUCGUAAGAAAAAGAGGGCUCAGUUUUGCAUUUCAUCUUCAAACCCAACACUCACAUCUCUUGCUGCAUAAUCUACCCAUCACAAUGUAAGAGAACUGCCCUGGUUAUCACUUAUCAGAAUGACCAUCCGAGGAGCAGAACAUCCAACAUUACCGAUGAAUUGAACAGGCUGCAAGGGAGGUAAGGGUGGGCUCUAAUUUAGUACCCACAAGCCACAGCUGUCUUGAUUGCUCAAGACAUGCUUAUUUCAGCCACAGUCAUCAUCAUCACCCCUCAUUUUUUACCGAAAAGGAGGCUGUAUCCCCGGCCUUUGCCCACCAAGCAAGAUGACCCUGAUAUCCAUACAUACAUACAUACAUACUCCCUCUGUAAAGAAAUAUAAGAGUGUUUAGAUCAUACUCCCUCCGUUUCUAAAUAUAAGCCCUUUUAGAGAUUCCAAUAUGGACUACAUACGGAGCAAAAUGAGUGAAUUUACAUGCGUGCACAUGUCCAUCCAUCCAUCCCCAUCAGCCUCAGGAGCUACUCAUGCCUGGCCUGGACCGACCAACCAGACCUGAUGACGCCCCAGAUAACACCGUACGGUUCCCAGCCCACGCCACAGCCAAAUCCAAGGCAAUGGAACGGCAGAGGCUGGCAGCACCGCAGCAGUGAACUGAUGCGGGCACCACCCAGACGAUUGGCCAGCGAGUUGGCAAUGAGAGCUCGACUGAUUUGGCUUAGGGUUAGAGGUAGAGGGGUGGGGGUAUACGUAGCAUAGCAAAAGAGGCUCAGUUUUGUCUUCCAUCUUCAAGCCCAACCCUCACAUCUCUUGCUGCAUAAUGUACCCAUCACGAUGUAUGAGAACUGCCAUGGUUAUCACUCACAGAAUGACCGUCCGAGGCACAAAGCAUCCAACAUCAGCGAUGAAUUGGACAGGCUGCAAGAGAGGCAAGGGUGGGCUCUAAGGCCAACUCCAACGCAGACACCGAUUUUUCGGCUCUGUUUAGUACCACCACGCCACGACUGUCUUGAUUGCUCAAAACAUGAUUAUUUCAGCCAUCGUCGUCAUCACCACCAUCAUCAUCAUUGCCCCAAUUUUUCCCCCAAAAAGGGGGUUCAACCCCAGUCCGGGGUCUGCACACCAAGCAACAUGACCAUGAUAUCCAUACAUACAUACUCCCUCCGUUCCAAAAUGUACUCCCUCCGUUCCAAAAUAGGAGUCGUGGUUUUAGUUCACGACACAUGAAUGCAUCCAUCCAUCCAUCCUGCUCAGGAGCUGCUCAUUACCUGGCCUCGACCGACCAAAUCUCCCGGCUCGAACGACGCAUCAGACAACAGAGCACGGUGCCAGCCCACGCCACAACCGAAUCCAAGGCAAUGGAAAGGCGGUGGCUGGCGGCUCCGUAGCAGUGUGGAACUGAGGCAGCGGCCACCGGAACGACAGGUCAGCGAUCCGGCAACGAGAGCUCGCCUGAUUCGGUUUAGGACUUACCGGUGUGAACAAUGCUCGCACGCAGACACAGAGUGAGCGAGUGUGUGGGAGUCUGAGAAAGAGAGAGAGGGAGAGAGAGAGGAGAGGGGGGGAUACAAGGAUCAUGAUCAUAAGCAAAAGAGGGCUCAGUUUUGCAUUUCAUCUUCAAACCCAACACUCACAUCUCUUGCUGCAUAAUCUACCUAUCGCAAUGUAAGAGAACUGCCCUGGUUAUCACUCAUCAGAAUGACCGUCCGAGGUGCAGAACAUCCAACAUUACCGAUGAAUUGAACAGGCCACAAAGGAGGUAAGGGUCGGCUCUACUUUAGUACCCACAGGACACCGCUAUCUUGAUUGCUCAAGACAUGCUUAUUUCGGCCACAGUCAUCAUCAUCGCCUUUGCCCACCAAGCAAGAUGACCCUGAUAUCCAUAAAUACAUACAUACAUACAUACAUACAUACAUACUCCCUCUGUAAAGAAAUAUAAGAGUGUUUAGAUCAUACUCCCUCCGUUUCUAAAUAUAAGCCCUUCUAGAGAUUCCAAUGUGGACUACAUACGGAGCAAAAUGAGUGAAUUUACAUGCGUGCACAUGUCCAUCCAUCCUCAUCAGCCUCAGGAGCUACUCAUGCCUGGCCUGGACCGACCAACCAGACCUGAUGACGCCCCAGAUAACACCGUACGGUUCCCAGCCCACGCCACAGCCAAAUCCAAGGCAAUGGAACAGCAGAGGCUGGCAGCACCGCAGCAGUGAACUGAAGCGGGCACCACCCAGACGAUUGGCCAGCGAGUUGGCAAUGAGAGCUUGACUGAUUUGGUUUAGGGUUAGAGGUAGAGGGGUGGGGGGUAUAUGUAGCAUAGCAAAAGAGGCUCAGUUUUGUCUUUCAUCUUCAAGCCCAACCCUCACCAUCUCUUGCUGCUUAAUCUACCCAUCACGAUGUAAGAGAACUGCCAUGGUUAUCACUCAACAGAAAGACCAUCCAAGGCACAAAUCAUCCAACGUCAGCGAUGAAUUGGACAGGCUGCAAGAGAGGCAAGGGUGGGCUCUAAGGCCAACUCCAACGCAGACACCGAUUUUUUCGGCUCUGUUUAGUACCACCACGCCACGGCUGCCUUGAUUGCUCAAGACAUGAUUAUUUCAGCCAUCAUCGUUAUCACCAUCAUCAUUGCCCCUCCCCAAAAAGGAGGUUCAGCCCCCGUCAGGGCUCUACACACCAAGCAACAUGACCAUGAUAUCCAUACAUGCAUACUCCCUCCGUUCCAAAAUGUACUCCCUCCGUUCCAAAAUAGGAGUCGUGGUUUUAGUUCACGACACAUGAAUGCAUCCAUCCAUCCUGCUCAGGAGCUGCUCAUACCUGGCCUCGACCGACCAAACCUCCCGCACGGACGAAACAGCAGACAAUCACUCUACGGUUUCCUGCCCGCGCCACAACCGAAUCCAAGGCAAUGGAACGGCGGUGGCUGGCGGCUCCGUAGCGGUGUGGAACUGACGCAAUGGACACCGGGACGAUGGGUCAGCGAUCCGGCAACGAGAGCUCGCCUGAUUCGGUUUCGGGUUAGGGUUAACUGGUGUGAACUCGGCGCGCGCGCGCACACAGAGCGAGCGAGUGUGAGUCAGAGAGAGAGAGAGAUGGGGAUCGUACCGAAUCCAAAG
Molecule: long non-coding RNA, 8486 nt
Filed under: Triticum aestivum (bread wheat)
Lineage: Eukaryota; Viridiplantae; Streptophyta; Magnoliopsida; Poales; Poaceae
Description: long non-coding RNA (TAES_LNC018522)
Source: RNAcentral